UGGGGAAUAUUGCACAAUGGGCGCAAGCCUGAUGCAGCCAUGCCGCGUGUGUGAAGAAGGCCUUCGGGUUGUAAAGCACUUUCAGCGAGGAGGAAGGUGGUGAACUUAAUACGUUCAUCAAUUGACGUUACUCGCAGAAGAAGCACCGGCUAACUCCGUGCCAGCAGCCGCGGUAAUACGGAGGGUGCAAGCGUUAAUCGGAAUUACUGGGCGUAAAGCGCACGCAGGCGGUUUGUUAAGUCAGAUGUGAAAUCCCCGGGCUCAACCUGGGAACUGCAUUUGAAACUGGCAAGCUAGAGUCUCGUAGAGGGGGGUAGAAUUCCAGGUGUAGCGGUGAAAUGCGUAGAGAUCUGGAGGAAUACCGGUGGCGAAGGCGGCCCCCUGGACGAAGACUGACGCUCAGGUGCGAAAGCGUGGGGAGCAAAACAGGAUUAGAUACCCUGGUAGUCCACGCUGUAAACGAUGUCGAUUUUGGAGGUUGUGCCCUUGAGGCGUGGCUUCCGGAGCUAACGCGUUAAAUCGACCGCCUGGGGAGUACGGCCGC
Molecule: ribosomal RNA, 544 nt
Filed under: uncultured bacterium
Lineage: Bacteria
Description: partial 16S ribosomal RNA
Rfam family: Bacterial small subunit ribosomal RNA
Source: RNAcentral